This 389-nucleotide ribosomal RNA is filed under the name uncultured bacterium. RNAcentral describes it as "bacterial SSU rRNA". It matches the Rfam family "Bacterial small subunit ribosomal RNA", at positions 30 to 416 of the family's 1533-position model. The record is from RNAcentral.
AUUGAACGCUGGCGGCAUGCCUUACACAUGCAAGUCGAACGGCAGCACGGGAGCAAUCCUGGUGGCGAGUGGCGAACGGGUGAGUAAUAUAUCGGAACGUGCCCAGUCGUGGGGAUAACGUAGCGAAAGCUACGCUAAUACCGCAUACGAUCUAUGGAUGAAAGCGGGGGAUCGCAAGACCUCGCGCGAUUGGAGCGGCCGAUAUCAGAUUAGGUAGUUGGUGAGGUAAAGGCUCACCAAGCCGACGAUCUGUAGCUGGUCUGAGAGGACGACCAGCCACACUGGGACUGAGACACGGCCCAGACUCCUACGGAGGCAGCAGUGGGGGAAUUUUUGGGACAAUGGGCGGCAAGCCCUGAUCCAGCAAUGCCGCGUGCAGGAUGAAGGCC